GGCUUGUUAGCUCAAUUGGUAGAGCGCUGCACUAGUAUCGCAGAGGUCAUUGGUUCGAAUCCAGUACAGGCCU
This 73-nucleotide transfer RNA is filed under the name Stylophora pistillata. RNAcentral's name for it is "tRNA-Thr". It matches the Rfam family "tRNA". Rfam says of the family: Transfer RNA (tRNA) molecules are approximately 80 nucleotides in length. Their secondary structure includes four short double-helical elements and three loops (D, anti-codon, and T loops). Lineage: Eukaryota; Metazoa; Cnidaria; Anthozoa; Scleractinia; Pocilloporidae. The record is from Rfam by way of RNAcentral.